This 220-nucleotide ribosomal RNA is filed under the name uncultured bacterium. RNAcentral's name for it is "partial 16S ribosomal RNA". It matches the Rfam family "Bacterial small subunit ribosomal RNA", at positions 111 to 334 of the family's 1533-position model. The record is from RNAcentral.
UAAUGUCUGGGAAACUGCCUGAUGGAGGGGGAUAACUGCUGGAAACGGUAGCUAAUACCGCAUAACGUCGCAAGACCAAAGGUGGGGGACCUCCGGGCCUCAUGCCAUCAGAUGUGCCCAGAUGGGAUUAGCUAGUAGGUGGGUAACGGCUCACCUAGGCGACGAUCCCUAGCUGGUCUGAGAGGAUGACCAGCCACACUGGAACUGAGACACGGUCCAG